AUAAUUCUGCAUCCAUUCUUGGCCUCUUGGUGUAUCUCUUCUCCAAAGUUCGGCAUAGGAGUCCAGAUAAAGUGCUGGAGACCUUCUUCACACUCUUUCAACACAGAAAUGGUACCACUGGAAUAGAUAUGCUCAGACUGAAGAGGAGAGGAAGGAGAGGCAUUUAAAGAAGGGUCCAUUUCUUUCCUUUUACUCAAGUAUAUCAUUAAGAUGAGAAUCUCUUCAGGGCAACAACUGCAUUCCAUUUUGGGGACCCAACUUUCUAAAUGUUCUCAUUAUGAUUCCAAUAAUGCAAGGUCCAGAACUGUUGACAACUGUCAGGAACCUGUCAGGGAUCCACUUAAUAAUUGUGUAUUCUUGGGUGAGUCAUUUAAUCUCAUGGGGUCUCAAAAUCUUUUUGUAUGGGAUAGGCUAACAAUAUGGAUUCCAAGACCUGACUGA
Molecule: long non-coding RNA, 441 nt
Filed under: Monodelphis domestica (gray short-tailed opossum)
Lineage: Eukaryota; Metazoa; Chordata; Mammalia; Didelphimorphia; Didelphidae
Description: lncRNA (ENSMODG00000051009.1)
Source: RNAcentral